UCCUGCUUAACUCAAUGGUAGAGUAGUUGACUCUUAAUCAAAUAGUUUAGGGUUCGAAUCCCUAAGCAGGAA
This 72-nucleotide transfer RNA is filed under the name Candidatus Pinguicoccus supinus. It matches the Rfam family "tRNA". Rfam says of the family: Transfer RNA (tRNA) molecules are approximately 80 nucleotides in length. The record is from Rfam by way of RNAcentral. Lineage: Bacteria; Pseudomonadati; Verrucomicrobiota.